This 72-nucleotide microRNA precursor is filed under the name Lepisosteus oculatus (spotted gar). RNAcentral describes it as "Loc-Let-7-P2a2_pre stem-loop". It matches the Rfam family "let-7 microRNA precursor family", at positions 7 to 81 of the family's 84-position model. From Rfam's summary of the family: This family represents the microRNAs (miRNA) let-7 and mir-98. let-7 was identified from a study of developmental timing in C. elegans, and was later shown to be part of a much larger class of non-coding RNAs termed miRNAs. The extents of the hairpin precursors are not generally known and are estimated based on hairpin prediction. The record is from RNAcentral. Lineage: Eukaryota; Metazoa; Chordata; Actinopteri; Semionotiformes; Lepisosteidae.
UGAGGUAGUAGGUUGUAUAGUUUUGGGGUUACACCCUUCCUGUCAGAUAACUAUACAAUCUACUGUCUUUCC